GUGGGGAAUCUUCCGCAAUGGACGAAAGUCUGACGGAGCAACGCCGCGUGAGUGAUGACGGUCUUCGGAUUGUAAAGCUCUGUUAAUCGGGACGAAAGAGCUCUGUGUGAAUAAUGCAGAGAAGUGACGGUACCGGAAUAGAAAGCCACGGCUAACUACGUGCCAGCAGCCGCGGUAAUACGUAGGUGGCAAGCGUUGUCCGGAAUUAUUGGGCGUAAAGCGCGCGCAGGCGGGUUUUUAAGUCUGUCUUAAAAGUUCGGGGCUUAACCCCGUGAGGGGAUGGAAACUGGAAACCUAGAGUAUCGGAGAGGAAAGCGGAAUUCCUAGUGUAGCGGUGAAAUGCGUAGAUAUUAGGAAGAACACCAGUGGCGAAGGCGGCUUUCUGGACGAAAACUGACGCUGAGGCGCGAAAGCCAGGGGAGCAAACGGGAUUAGAAACCCUGGUAGUCC
This 450-nucleotide ribosomal RNA is filed under the name uncultured bacterium. RNAcentral describes it as "partial 16S ribosomal RNA". It matches the Rfam family "Bacterial small subunit ribosomal RNA", at positions 354 to 796 of the family's 1533-position model. The record is from RNAcentral.